Molecule: transfer RNA, 79 nt
Filed under: Siphoviridae sp. ctmHK36
Lineage: Duplodnaviria; Heunggongvirae; Uroviricota; Caudoviricetes
Description: tRNA-Arg
Source: RNAcentral
GUGUCAAUACACCCACUAUUGUUUCAAUGUACAGCCUUCUAAGCUGUGGGUCUUGGGUUCGAACCCCAACGGAAUCACA